CAUCUUGCCCGCAGCGCCGUGUUCUUCCCGAGCACUGUUGCUCACCGAACCACAACCGGAUCGAAUCGAUCGAUUCUUGACCCGUAGGCCACGGUAUCUGAUCUAUAUAAGAUCCCAAACCCCUCCUCGCCCGAUUUUUUGCCAAACCGCCACCUUUCGUGCCCGUUACGCCUCGCCCAGAUCUCGCCGGAGUCCGCCGCCGCAGAAGCUUUCCGCCGAUUGAUUCCGUCGUGUUUGGAGACACCACAUCGAACCCUAGGACCUCAGCCCGAAGCUUCAUGGAGGCAGCUCCGCUCCAGCCGGUCAUUGUCACCACAGGAGCAAGCCCCAAUCGUCUCCGAGGUCACCUAAUUCAUCUCUGUGGCGUUAUGAACCCGUUGGUGAUUUCUACAUAGCCAGAGGGCCUCUGUAUCCGUCGCCCGCUUCAUCACCGAGCCGCUCGAGCCCUUCUUCUCCAACUCCGGCAGCCACGUUGUCUUUGUUCACCGGAUUUUCAGAUGAUCAGUGAGAUACAGUAGGGUCGCGAGUCUUCACUCAGCAUUUUUGCCAAUGGGCAUUGAUGAGAUUCAUCGUUUAUUAUGAUACCUUUCCGCUGUUAUUAUUGAAUAAAGUUAGCUAUGUGCUACUCUGUUUGUAAUACUUUAUGAAUUCUGGAUCAUACGUUAUAGUAAAUGAUGCACUUGUUA
Long non-coding RNA from Triticum aestivum (bread wheat), 686 nucleotides. RefSeq lists it as uncharacterized. NCBI's taxonomy places the organism in Eukaryota, Viridiplantae, Streptophyta, Magnoliopsida, Poales, Poaceae. The record is from RefSeq and is a predicted model, not a curated record. The transcript is spliced from 3 exons.